GACGAACGCUGGCGGCGUGCUUAACACAUGCAAGUCGAACGGAAAGGCCCUGCUCUUGUGGGGUGCUCGAGUGGCGAACGGGUGAGUAACACGCGAGUAACCUGCCCUUGACUUUGGGAUAACUUCAGGAAACUGGGGCUAAUACCGGAUAUGAGCUCCUGCUGCAUGGUGGGGGAUGGAAAGUGUCGGCGGUUGGGGAUGGACUCGCGGCUUAUCAGCCUGUUGGUGGGGUAGUGGAAUACCAAGGCUUUGACGGGUAGCCUGCCUGAGAGGGUGACCGGCCACAUUGGGACUAAGAUACGGCCCAGUCUCGUACGGGAGGCAACGGUGGAGAAUAUUGCACAAUGGGCGGAAGACUGAUGCAGCAGCGCCGCGUGCGGAAUGCCGGCCUUCGAGUUGUAAACAGCUUUCUCCUUUGACGAAGAGUUCGUGACGGUAAUGAGUAAAGAAGCACCGGCUAACUACGUG
RNAcentral lists this ribosomal RNA (468 nucleotides) under uncultured bacterium. Its description in RNAcentral is "partial 16S ribosomal RNA". It matches the Rfam family "Bacterial small subunit ribosomal RNA", at positions 28 to 507 of the family's 1533-position model. The record is from RNAcentral.